AUUUUCCAACACACAUUUGCUUUUCUUUUGGCUUAAGCGCAGUUAAGUCGCAGGAACUGUUAAUUCUUCCUAAGUAAAAAUGCUUCCUAGGAGAUAGAAGAGGAAAAAGAAAAAGGGGACAACACACGGAAAAACGAGGACAACCUAUUCGCCAAAGGACAGGUUUUGUACGGCAAACCACCUUCUUCCAAAACUGCAGAUUUCCAGAAAGCAGAUUUCAAACAAAACGGGAGGAAUGGAUAAAUUCCAACUCUCCAAGCGCUGCAGACCAUCCGGAAGCAAAUGCUGGCGGCCCUCGGGGAACGAUCGAAAUGAGUAGCAGCAGCAGGGCUCUCUUCGUCCCAUUCAUUGACACUUGAUAGUACUUCCGCGCCACUCACCUUCGUUCUAGCUGAGCGCAAAUCACACCAGGAAAGCUGGAGGGAGUCGGACACACACCCACACCCACACCCUUGGCCCCAGAGCUGUAAAGCGCAGUCCACGGAAUCAGAGGGAGGCCGAAACCCGGGAGUCGCUCGAAAAUCUCACUGCAAAAUCUCCCCGCUUUCUGGGGCUGGAGCCGAGAAGAACGCCACAGGACAAAGCAGGGGAAGAGGGGGCACCUCCCCCUUACCUUGAUGGCUUUCUCCAUGUCGCUUUCCUCCGACAUGCUCCGUGGGGCUCCCGCAGCCGCGAAGAGCUGAGGCUGCUCAGCCGCCCUGUCCCCGCGAGACCGAGGGAGCAAAGGGCUCGGCACUCGGGCCCCUGGGCUUCGGGGCGACGGGCAGCAGCCGCCCCUGGGGACCGGUAGGGAUGAGGGCCCCGGUGCCGGCUCUGCUUCGGCGGGCGGCUUUAGGCUGGCCGCAGCAGCAGCGGCAGAGGCGGCGGCCCCUGGGGACAAGCCUUUGUGCUGGGCCCCGCGCGGCCGCCUCCUAGCCUCAUCCCCGGCAGGGGAGGCAGGCUCCCGGGGUAGGGCGAGGCGGGGAGGGCCUCGACCUGGGGCACUAUGCAGGGGCCUCGCGGGGCCGCCGCUUAGGCCGGGGCUCGCCAGCUCCUAAGGAGGAGCCUGCGCCUCCGCCUCCGCCGCCUGCACCUCCGCGAAGCCGAAGCCGAAGCAGAGCUCGCCGCCGCUGCUCCCGCCACCGCUUCAGCGCCACACAUCGCCGGGACACCCGCGCCGGGCAGCCCCGCCGGCCGCCCUCACGCAAGCGCUGUGUCCCGCGGGAGCUCCGGGCAGCCCUUCCCGUCGCCCAGCUUCGUGACUCCACGGCCCCACGCGCCCCUCGCUGCCUUCCGCUGUGGUUUCCGAGCCGCCCCCGAGCCGUGCACCCGACUUGCAGGCGCUGGCCUGGGCCUCCCUAAGACGCGCCGCAUGCAGGACUGGCCCCCGGGCCUUCCGCGGCGGAGGCGCUGCACUAAUGACGUCAUGGGCGACCGGACUGGGCUGGGCCUCUGGAGGUCGCUCCCGGACACGCUUGAGUGCGCAUGCGUUGGGGCCUCAUCCUUUAUCCUAGCUGCGGAGAUUCACGCCUGGUAAGGGCUCUUCAGAGAGGAUCGGUGGAGGUCGACCCAGGAAAGAGAAGAGACGACUGAAGCACGAGAGUCCUGCCGUAAAGGAGCAGGAUUGUGUAGAGUACAUAAUAGCAGUAGCAGCUCUGUUUACGGAGCAUUAACCUUACGUGGAGUUCUUUGCAUUACCUGUUUUCAUCUUUACAGUGUAGCCAUUUGGCGUUGCGACGUAUGAAUGUUCCCAUCCCUAGUUUGCAGUUUAGGUAACUGAGGCUCAGAGAGCUGGACUAGUUUGUGCACAGCCGAGAAGUGGUCAAGCAUAGAAUGAGAACCCAGGUUUGCGCUCCCUACUCUCCACUGAUAACCUGUCAAAGGGCCUUGCAAGAGCUUUUGACUAAUCGCCUCACAGUGGUUCUUCAUUCACUUAUUAAUUGCACAUCAGUCUGUGCCAAAUAUACUAGACAUUGGGGAAACAGUGGGAACAAGACACGGUACCGGCUCAUGGUUCUUUCAGGAAAAGGAAGUAGGAAAGCCCGAGCCUGAUGCUAAGAAGAACGGAAACAGGAUGCUGAGGGUCUCACUGGCUGGAGUACAGUGGCGUGAUUACAGCUCCCUGCAACCUAGACCUCCUGAGCUCAAGUGAUCCUCCCACCUCAGCCUCCUAAGUAGCUGGGACUACAGGCUCAUGCCACCAUGCCUGGCUAAUUUUUUGGUUUUUUUUGUAGAGAUGGGCUCAGGCUGCUCUUCAACUCCUGAGCUCAAAUGAUCCACCUGCCUUGGCCUCCCAAGGUACUGGGAUUACAGGUGUGAGCCACGGUGCCUGGCUGAGAAGAUGGAUUUAAGACAUGUUUUGGAGGUAACAUUGUCAGGACUUCCUGAAGGAUUAGAUGUGGAAGGGGAGGAUAAGAAACAGACCAAGGAUAACUUUCACAUGUAUGUUUAAGCAACUAGAUGGAUAAUGAUGCCAUUCAGUGAGUGAAGCCUUUAUGGAGGUGGAAGAUCCAGAGUUCUUUUCUAUCUAGGUUAAUUUGAGACAUCCCAGAGCAUAAGUCAAGUAAGUAAUUGAAUAUUGGAGUGGAGACUUAGUUGUCUACCAGAAUUAUUGUUUUCUUUGUCGGUCAUACACCAACACUGCAUUCCUCAAGUAAAAUAAGCGUGCCUCUGUGCCUGUGCUCUCCCCAGUGGAAAGUGAGCAGAAGAGGUGUGCACAGUUUCCAGGCCUGGCCCAUACAGACCUCCAACAGGUGUUCCCUGUGCUCUUACUCCUUCUGCCAACUGGAAGCAGAUGGUGACCAGGCUCUGGAGAAGGCAAGGCCUGAAGAUGGGAGAUUCCUGAGUGGAGAACUGUGCCUUACUGACCUAAAUAUCGACUCUUUAUUGUUAUGUGGGAAUAAACAAACUUGUGUUGACCUUUUA
Callithrix jacchus (white-tufted-ear marmoset) is the source of this 2904-nucleotide non-coding RNA. The record is from RefSeq and is a predicted model, not a curated record. Lineage: Eukaryota; Metazoa; Chordata; Mammalia; Primates; Cebidae.